UUGGAGGGCAAGUCUGGUGCCAGCAGCCGCGGUAAUUCCAGCUCCAAUAGCGUAUAUUAAAGUUGCUGCAGUUAAAAAGCUCGUAGUUGAAUUUCGGGACUAAUAUGUCGGUCGUGCCUCGGUACGUACUGGCUUAUUGGUUUCUCCUUUCUGAAGAACCAUGAUGUCAUUUAUUUGGUGUCGUGGGGAAUCAGGACUGUUACUUUGAAAAAAUUAGAGUGUUUAAAGCAGGCUCACGCUUGAAUACAUUAGCAUGGAAUAAUGAAAUAGGACGUUUGAUUCUAUUUUGUUGGUUUCUAGGAUCGACGUAAUGAUUAAUAGGGAUAGUUGGGGGCAUUAGUAUUCAAUUGUCAGAGGUGAAAUUCUUGGAUUUAUUGAAGACUAACUACUGCGAAAGCAUUUGCCAAGGAUGUUUUCAUUAAUCAAGAACGAAAGUUAGGGGAUCGAAGACGAUCAGAUACCGUCGUAGUCUUAACCAUAAACUAUGCCGACUAGGGAUCGGAUGAUGUUAAUUUUUUAAUGACUCAUUCGGCGCCUUACGGGAAAC
Molecule: ribosomal RNA, 547 nt
Filed under: uncultured Glomus
Lineage: Eukaryota; Fungi; Glomeromycota; Glomeromycetes; Glomerales; Glomeraceae
Description: SSU rRNA
Rfam family: Eukaryotic small subunit ribosomal RNA
Source: RNAcentral